This 497-nucleotide ribosomal RNA is filed under the name uncultured bacterium. RNAcentral describes it as "partial 16S ribosomal RNA". It matches the Rfam family "Bacterial small subunit ribosomal RNA", at positions 28 to 507 of the family's 1533-position model. The record is from RNAcentral.
GAUGAACGCUGGCGGCGUGCCUAAUACAUGCAAGUCGAGCGAACAGACGAGGAGCUUGCUCCUCUGACGUUAGCGGCGGACGGGUGAGUAACACGUGGAUAACCUACCUAUAAGACUGGGAUAACUUCGGGAAACCGGAGCUAAUACCGGAUAAUAUAUUGGACCGCAUGGUUCAAUAGUGAAAGACGGUUUUGCUGUCACUUAUAGAUGGAUCCGCGCCGCAUUAGCUAGUUGGUAGGGUAACGGCUUACCAAGGCAACGAUGCGUAGCCGACCUGAGAGGGUGAUCGGCCACACUGGAACUGAGACACGGUCCAGACUCCUACGGGAGGCAGCAGUAGGGAAUCUUCCGCAAUGGGCGAAAGCCUGACGGAGCAACGCCGCGUGAGUGAUGAAGGUCUUCGGAUCGUAAAACUCUGUUAUUAGGGAAGAACAAAUGUGUAAGUAACUAUGCACGUCUUGACGGUACCUAAUCAGAAAGCCACGGCUAACUACGUG